UCUUAUAGUUGUGAUGUGCCUUGUAUUUCUCUUGGAAAAUUGUGGUGCAAUGUUCUUGCAUUUCUUACAUCUGACACGUGGUGCAAUAUUCUUAUAGUUGUGAUGUUUCUAUUUUGAUUUUGGAGAACAAACAAACUUUGUCAAUGCUAAAAAAAUAUUACACCCGGUGGACAAGGAGUCUACCUUACCUAAAGAAACAAGCCUGAAACAAGAAACGCAAACAUGAGACAGAGGCAAUUCCACCAAGAAAGUAAACUGCUUAAAAAGUAUAGCAAAGAAUUCGGGACCUCACAAGCACUUAACCAGAAAUUUAGGGACCUUACAAACCCAGAGAAUAGUCUCAGAAUCACUUUCUAAAUCCAAAAGCAGUCUCCUUUACUACAAUACCGAUGAAUAUUAGACAGAAAUUUACAGCAGUUUUGGUUUCAACUCAUCCUAUGGACAACCCCAAAAGAAGUCAAAAGUCACUUAAUACAUCAUCAACCAAAAUACUGAUUCAACAAAUAUUCCAUUUUUUCCCCAACGCGCAGCAUAUAUGACCCACACAAACAGAAGGAGCCAGCGAAUACCCAGAAACUGCAAUCAC
This 586-nucleotide long non-coding RNA is filed under the name Prunus persica (peach). Its description in RNAcentral is "long non-coding RNA (PPER_LNC001686)". Lineage: Eukaryota; Viridiplantae; Streptophyta; Magnoliopsida; Rosales; Rosaceae. The record is from RNAcentral.